Molecule: ribosomal RNA, 443 nt
Filed under: uncultured bacterium
Lineage: Bacteria
Description: partial 16S ribosomal RNA
Rfam family: Bacterial small subunit ribosomal RNA
Source: RNAcentral
CCUACGGGAGGCUGCAGUGGGGGAUAUUGGACAAUGGGGGGAACUCUGAUCCAGCGACGCCGCGUGAGUGAUGAAGUAUUUCGGAAUGUAAAGCUCUGUUAGCAGGGAAGAAAGCAGUGACGGUACCUGACCAAGAAGCCUCGGCUAACUACGUGCCAGCAGCCGCGGUAAUACGUAGGGGGCAAGCGUUAUCCGGAAUGACUGGGCGUAAAGGGGGCGUAGGUGGGCUGACAAGUCAGUAGCGAAACCCCGUGGCUCAACCACGGAACUGCAUUUGAAACUGUCGGACUUGAGUGUAGGAGGGGCAAACGGAAUUCCUAGUGUAGCGGUGGAAUGCGUAGAUAUUAGGAGGAACACCAGUGGCGAAGGCGACCUGCUGGACGACAACUGACAGUGAGGCGCGAAAGCGUGGGGAGCAAACAGGAUUAGAUACCCUUGUAGUC